RNAcentral lists this small RNA (161 nucleotides) under Arabidopsis thaliana (thale cress). RNAcentral describes it as "ATSL040810". The record is from RNAcentral. Lineage: Eukaryota; Viridiplantae; Streptophyta; Magnoliopsida; Brassicales; Brassicaceae.
AUUUAAAGAUCCAAAACCAAAAUUUCAUAGGGACUUUGGCUAUACCAUUAAAGCUUUGAGAAUCAAAAAAGAGCUUGGUUAGCGUUUUUGGAGUCAAAUAUGACUAGAUGUCGUGUGUAUGAUUGAGUAUAAGAACUAGAACUUCAACCGAAACAAAAGCU